UACGGGGGGGGCAAGCGUUGUUCGGAAUUACUGGGCGUAAAGGGUUCGUAGGUGGCCAACUAAGUCAGACGUGAAAUCCCUCAGCUUAACUGGGGAACUGCGUCUGAUACUGGUUGGCUUGAGUGCAGGAGAGGAACGCGGAAUUCCAGGUGUAGCGGUGAAAUGCGUAGAUAUCUGGAGGAACACCGGUGGCGAAGGCGGCGUUCUGGACUGCAACUGACACUGAGGAGCGAAAGCGUGGGGAGCAAACAGG
Molecule: ribosomal RNA, 253 nt
Filed under: uncultured bacterium
Lineage: Bacteria
Description: partial 16S ribosomal RNA
Rfam family: Bacterial small subunit ribosomal RNA
Source: RNAcentral